AUCCAGCCGAUGAGUCCCAAAUGGGACGAAACGCGCGUCGUGGAU
This is a non-coding RNA of Schistosoma haematobium, 45 nucleotides long. NCBI's taxonomy places the organism in Eukaryota, Metazoa, Platyhelminthes, Trematoda, Strigeidida, Schistosomatidae. The record is from Rfam.